GACGAACGCUGGCGGCGUGCUUAACACAUGCAAGUCGAGCGGUAAGGCCCUUUCGGGGGUACGACGAGCGGCGAACGGGUGAGUAACACGUGGGUGACCUGCCCUCAGCUCUGGGAUAAGCCUGGGAAACCGGGUCUAAUACUGGAUAUGGCUCCAUGACGCAUGUUGUGGGGUGGAAAGCCUUGUGCGGCUGAGGAUGGGCCCGCGGCCUAUCAGCUUGUUGGGGGGUGAUGGCCUACCAAGGCGACGACGGGUAGCCGGCCUGAGAGGGCGACCGGCCACACUGGGACUGAGACACGGCCCAGACUCCUACGGGAGGCAGCAGUGGGGAAUCUUGCGCAAUGGGCGAAAGCCUGACGCAGCGACGCCGCGUGAGGGAUGACGGCCU
This 388-nucleotide ribosomal RNA is filed under the name uncultured bacterium. RNAcentral's name for it is "bacterial SSU rRNA". It matches the Rfam family "Bacterial small subunit ribosomal RNA", at positions 28 to 417 of the family's 1533-position model. The record is from RNAcentral.